UUGGCUCUCGCAUCGAUGAAGAACGCAGCGAAAUGCGAUAAGUAAUGUGGAAUUGCAGAAUUCAGUGAAUCAUCGAAUCUUUGAACGCACCUUGCGCUCCUUGGUAUUCCGAGGAGCAUGCCUGUUUGAGUGUCAUUAAUUUCUCAACCUCACCAACUUUUGUUGUGUGAAGGCUUGGAUGUGGGGGUUGCAGGUCCGCAUUUAUGUGGUCUGCUCCUCU
Molecule: ribosomal RNA, 220 nt
Filed under: Coprinopsis lagopides
Lineage: Eukaryota; Fungi; Basidiomycota; Agaricomycetes; Agaricales; Psathyrellaceae
Description: 5.8S ribosomal RNA
Rfam family: 5.8S ribosomal RNA (bases 1-135)
About the family: 5.8S ribosomal RNA (5.8S rRNA) is a component of the large subunit of the eukaryotic ribosome.
Source: RNAcentral